RNAcentral lists this ribosomal RNA (554 nucleotides) under uncultured bacterium. RNAcentral's name for it is "partial 16S ribosomal RNA". It matches the Rfam family "Bacterial small subunit ribosomal RNA", at positions 355 to 900 of the family's 1533-position model. The record is from RNAcentral.
UAGGGAAUCUUCCACAAUGGACGCAAGUCUGAUGGAGCAACGCCGCGUGAGUGAAGAAGGUCUUCGGAUCGUAAAGCUCUGUUGUUGGUGAAGAAGGAUAGAGGCAGUAACUGGUCUUUAUUUGACGGUAAUCAACCGGAAAGUCACGGCUAACUACGUGCCAGCAGCCGCGGUAAUACGUAGGUGGCAAGCGUUGUCCGGAUUUAUUGGGCGUAAAGCGAGCGCAGGCGGAAUGAUAAGUCUGAUGUGAAAGCCCACGGCUCAACCGUGGAACUGCAUCGGAAACUGUCAUUCUUGAGUGCAGAAGAGGAGAGUGGAACUCCAUGUGUAGCGGUGGAAUGCGUAGAUAUAUGGAAGAACACCAGUGGCGAAGGCGGCUCUCUGGUCUGCAACUGACGCUGAGGCUCGAAAGCAUGGGUAGCGAACAGGAUUAGAUACCCUGGUAGUCCAUGCCGUAAACGAUGAGCGCUAGGUGUUGGGGACUUUCCGGUCCUCAGUGCCGCAGCAAACGCAUUAAGCGCUCCGCCUGGGGAGUACGACCGCAAGGUUGAAAC